RNAcentral lists this ribosomal RNA (743 nucleotides) under uncultured cyanobacterium. Its description in RNAcentral is "bacterial SSU rRNA". It matches the Rfam family "Bacterial small subunit ribosomal RNA", at positions 8 to 796 of the family's 1533-position model. The record is from RNAcentral. Lineage: Bacteria; Bacillati; Cyanobacteriota.
AGAGUUUGAUCCUGGCUCAGGAUGAACGCUGGCGGUAUGCUUAACACAUGCAAGUCGAACGGUGUCUUCGGACAUAGUGGCGGACGGGUGAGUAACGCGUGAGAAUCUGCCUUCAGGUUGGGGACAACAGCUGGAAACGGCUGCUAAUACCCAAUGUGCCGAGAGGUGAAAGCUUUAGUGCCUGAAGAUGAGCUCGCGUCUGAUUAGCUAGUUGGAGUGGUAACGGCACACCAAGGCAACGAUCAGUAGCUGGUCUGAGAGGAUGAUCAGCCACACUGGGACUGAGACACGGCCCAGACUCCUACGGGAGGCAGCAGUGGGGAAUUUUCCGCAAUGGGCGAAAGCCUGACGGAGCAAUACCGCGUGAGGGAGGAAGGCUCUUGGGUUGUAAACCUCUUUUGUCAGGGAAGAAGAUCUGACGGUACCUGACGAAUCAGCAUCGGCUAACUCCGUGCCAGCAGCCGCGGUAAUACGGGGGAUGCAAGCGUUAUCCGGAAUUAUUGGGCGUAAAGCGUCUGUAGGUGGUUGUUCAAGUCUGUUGUCAAAGCAUGGAGCUUAACUCCAUAUAGGCAAUGGAAACUGAGCUACUAGAGUACGGUAGGGGUCGCGGGAAUUCCCAGUGUAGCGGUGAAAUGCGUAGAUAUUGGGAAGAACACCAGUGGCGGAAGCGCGCGGCUGGACCUGUACUGACACUGAGGGACGAAAGCUAGGGGAGCGAAAGGGAUUAGAUACCCCAGUAGUCC